RNAcentral lists this ribosomal RNA (417 nucleotides) under uncultured bacterium. Its description in RNAcentral is "bacterial SSU rRNA". It matches the Rfam family "Bacterial small subunit ribosomal RNA", at positions 1 to 415 of the family's 1533-position model. The record is from RNAcentral.
UGAGUUUGAUUAUGGCUCAGGACGAACGCUGGCGGCGUGCUUCAUACAUGCAAGUCAAGGAGAACGCUCUCUUCGGAGUGCUAUUAAACUGGCGAACGGGUGAGUAACGCGUGGGCAACCUGCCCUAGAGAUUGGGAUAACUUCGGGAAACUGGAGCUAAUACCGAAUAAUGCAGCGGAUCCUUCGGGAUACAGUUGUUAAAGCGGGCUUCGGCUCGUGCUUUAGGAUGGGCCUGCGUCCGAUUAGCUUGUUGGUAAGGUAAAGGCUUACCAAGGCAAUGAUCGGUAGCUGGUCUGAGAGGAUGAUCAGCCACACUGGGAUUGAGAUACGGCCCAGNCCACCACGGUGGGCAGCAGUAAGGAAUUUUGCGCAAUGGGGGAAACCCUGACGCAGCAACGCCGCGUGACCGAUGAAGCU